UGGAGACAGGGUCUCACUAUAUUGCCAAGGCUGGUCUCAAAUUCUUGGCCACAAGUGAUCAUCCUUCCUUGGCCUCCAAAAGUGGUGGGAUUGCAAGAAUGAGCCACUGGGCCCAACUGAAAAGGCUCUUUCUUACAGUAAAAUGACAACUAAGAAUUGUGGAAAAAAUAAUAUAGUCAGAAAGUUACAAUUUGGCAAACAUCAGAGUAAUAAUUGAUCAGACAAAAAUUACUAAUAGAUACCAAAAUUAGUGGGUGAAAUUUUAAUGAGAACGAGAACAUUUACAUAGUUCCAAAGUGUUUUCCAUAUAUUAAUUAUUAACGUCAAAAGGAAAAAUAGUGACUUUACCAUGUAAAAUCCUGACAGAAAACAUCUUAACCAAGUACUGGGUAAUGGAACAGAUCAACGUUCUCUUCUUCUUGACGUGAUGGGACAGACCAACAUCAUGUUCCUUUUGAUGUGAUGUCCUACGGCAAAUACCACAACAAUUCUACAGCAUUUCUCCUAAAGAAAGCAUAACCUCAAUCUAGUUAUGAAGAAACAUCAGAAGCCAAACUAAAGGACACGGGACAAAAUGAACUGUGCUUUUGAAAACAUCAAGGACAUGAAUGACAAAGGGAAGAGUCUACAAGGAAAAGAAGAAUAAAAGAGAAAACAAUCACUAUCCACCCCCAACCCUCCCUGUUCCUCCAGAAGUUACCCUUUUGGAAGAAUCCUGGCAAACUUUUCUCUGGGAAAUCUGACCAACCAGUGAAAACAAUUAAAUAAAUUAUAUUUGGAUUCCCCUAAUAAAUUUCUCAGUCAGUUGACUUAUGGUCCAUUUUUACCAUAUGGUAAAGCUCAAGUUGAAAAGCAUCACCCAAGUGUGAUGAGUUAUUAAUCAGCCUUUUAUCUCACUUUUAAAUAUAAGCAAAUAUCUAAGGAUUACCACAUAUCAAGAAAAUCCUCAAAUCCUUAAAGAUGAAAGGUAAAGACACAGAGAAAAGCAGCUUGGAAGAAACAGACUAAUAUACAGGAAAGAAAUUUGUAUAAAGAAAAGGAGACCUCUUGCAUUUUAACAAAAUGAGAAAAGCAAUGAAAAAUGCAUUAGAAGAAUUGGAGGAUAAAAUUGAGAGAAUAUUCCAAAAAGUAGAGAAAAAGAGACAAAGAGAUGAAAAAUAGGAGAGAAAGUGUAGAAAAAUUAGAGGACCAUUCUAUACAGUCCAAUAUUUGAAUAAUAGUUAUUCAAAAAAAAAGAGGCAAGAAAAUGAAGGGGAG
RNAcentral lists this long non-coding RNA (1257 nucleotides) under Homo sapiens (human). Its description in RNAcentral is "HSALNT0141814". The record is from RNAcentral. Lineage: Eukaryota; Metazoa; Chordata; Mammalia; Primates; Hominidae.